This 400-nucleotide ribosomal RNA is filed under the name uncultured Inocybe. Its description in RNAcentral is "eukaryotic LSU rRNA". It matches the Rfam family "Eukaryotic large subunit ribosomal RNA", at positions 1 to 391 of the family's 3401-position model. The record is from RNAcentral. Lineage: Eukaryota; Fungi; Basidiomycota; Agaricomycetes; Agaricales; Cortinariaceae.
UUGACCUCAAAUCAGGUAGGACUACCCGCUGAACUUAAGCAUAUCAAUAAGCGGAGGAAAAGAAACUAACAAGGAUUCCCUUAGUAACUGCGAGUGAAGUGGGAAAAGCUCAAAUUUAAAAUCUGGCAGUCAUUUGGCUGUCCGAGUUGUAAUCUAGAGAAGUGUUGCCCGUGCUGGACCAUGUACAAGUCUCCUGGAAUGGAGCAUCACAGAGGGUGAGAAUCCUGUCUUUGACAUGGACUACCAGUGCUUUUGUGGUAUGCUCUCAAAGAGUCGAGUUGUUUGGGAAUGCAGCUCAAAAUGGGUGGUAAAUGCCAUCUAAAGCUAAAUAUUGGCGAGAGACCGAUAGUGAACAAGUACCGUGAGGGAAAGAUGAAAAGAACUUUGGAAAGAGAGUUAA